RNAcentral lists this ribosomal RNA (492 nucleotides) under uncultured bacterium. Its description in RNAcentral is "partial 16S ribosomal RNA". It matches the Rfam family "Bacterial small subunit ribosomal RNA", at positions 29 to 507 of the family's 1533-position model. The record is from RNAcentral.
AGUGAACGCUGGCGGUAGGCCUAACACAUGCAAGUCGAACGGCAGCACCGUGAGCGCUUGCUCUUACGGGUGGCGAGUGGCGGACGGGAGACGAAGGCGUCGGACUCUACUUUUUCGUGGGGGAUAAUGUCGGGAAACUUACGCUAAUACCGCACACGACCUGCGUGUGGAAGCAGGUGAUCUUCGUAACUUACUCGGUUGAGUGAACCGCUGUCGGAUCAGCGAGCUGGCGGGGGAAAGGCCGACGAAGGAGCCGAUCCGUAGCUGGUCUGAGAGCAUGAUCAGACAGACUGGAACUGAGACACGGUCCAGACUCCUACGGGAGGCCGCAGUGGGGAAUAUUGGACAAGGGGCGAGAGCCUGAUACAGCACUACCGGCUGGGUCAAGAAGGAGUUAUGGUUGGUAUGUCCAUUUGUUGGGAAAGAAAAGCAGCAGGUUAGUACCCCGCGGUUCUGACGGUACCCAAAGAAUAAGCCCCGGCUAACUUCGUG